CGGGGUGCAGCAGGCGCGAAAACUUUACAAUGCUGGCAACAGCGAUAAGGGGACCUCGAGUGCCAGGAUACAAUCUUGGCUGUCGCGAUGCCUAAAAAGCAUUGCAUAGCAAGGGCCGGGCAAGACCGGUGCCAGCCGCCGCGGUAACACCGGCGGCUCGAGUGGUAACCGCUAUUAUUGGGUCUAAAGGGUCUGUAGCCGGCCGGAUAAGUCUCUUGGGAAAUCCAGCAGCUCAACUGUUGGGCUUUCAGGAGAUACUGUUCGGCUCGAGGCCGGGAGAGGUGAGAGGUACUUCAGGGGUAGGGGUGAAAUCUUGUAAUCCUUGAAGGACCACCAGUGGCGAAGGCGUCUCACCAGAACGGACCUGACGGCAAGGGACGAAAGCUAGGGGCACGAACCGGAUUAGAUACCCGGGUAGUCCUAGCCGUAAACGAUACUCGCUAGGUGUCAGCCACGGUGCGACCGUGGUUGGUGCCGUAGGGAAGCCGUGAAGCGAGCCACCUGGGAAGUACGGCCGCAAGGCUGAAACUUAAAGGAAUUGGCGGGGGAGCACAAGGGCGAUUCGCG
This 567-nucleotide ribosomal RNA is filed under the name uncultured archaeon. RNAcentral describes it as "bacterial SSU rRNA". It matches the Rfam family "Archaeal small subunit ribosomal RNA", at positions 326 to 897 of the family's 1478-position model. The record is from RNAcentral.